AGAGUUUGAUCCUGGCUCAGGAUGAACGCCGGCGGUGUGCCUAAUACAUGCAAGUCGUACGCACUGGCCCAACUGAUUGAUGGUGCUUGCACCUGAUUGACGAUGGAUCACCAGUGAGUGGCGGACGGGUGAGUAACACGUAGGUAACCUGCCCCGGAGCGGGGGAUAACACUUGGAAACAGAUGCUAAUACCGCAUAACAACAGAAGCCACAUGGCUUUUGUUUGAAAGAUGGCCUUGGCUAUCACUCUGGGAUGGACCUGCGGUGCAUUAGCUAGUUGGUAAGGUAACGGCUUACCAAGGCGAUGAUGCAUAGCCGAGUUGAGAGACUGAUCGGCCACAAUGGAACUGAGACACGGUCCAUACUCCUACGGGAGGCAGCAGUAGGGAAUCUUCCACAAUGGGCGCAAGCCUGAUGGAGCAACACCGCGUGAGUGAAGAAGGGUUUCGGCUCGUAAAGCUCUGUUGUUGGAGAAGAACGUGCGUGAGAGUAACUGUUCACGCAGUGACGGUAUCCAACCAGAAAGUCACGGCUAACUACGUGCCAGCAGCCGCGGUAAUACGUAGGUGGCAAGCGUUAUCCGGAUUUAUUGGGCGUAAAGCGAGCGCAGGAGGUUGCUUAGGUCUGAUGUGAAAGCCUUCGGCUUAACCGAAGAAGUGCAUCGGAAACCGGGCGACUUGAGUGCAGAAGAGGACAGUGGAACUCCAUGUGUAGCGGUGGAAUGCGUAGAUAUAUGGAAGAACACCAGUGGCGAAGGCGGCUGUCUGGUCUGCAACUGACGCUGAGGCUCGAAAGCAUGGGUAGCGAACAGGAUUAGAUACCCUGGUAGUCCAUACCGUAAACGAUGAGUGCUAGGUGUUGGAGGGUUUCCGCCCUUCAGUGCCGGAGCUAACGCAUUAAGCACUCCGCCUGGGGAGUACGACCGCAAGGUUGAAACUCAAAGGAAUUGACGGGGGCCCGCACAAGCGGUGGAGCAUGUGGUUUAAUUCGAAGCUACGCGAAGAACCUUACCAGGUCUUGACAUCUUGCGCUAACCUUAGAGAUAAGGCGUUCCCUUCGGGGACGCAAUGACAGGUGGUGCAUGGUCGUCGUCAGCUCGUGUCGUGAGAUGUUGGGUUAAGUCCCGCAACGAGCGCAACCCUUGUUACUAGUUGCCAGCAUUAAGUUGGGCACUCUAGUGAGACUGCCGGUGACAAACCGGAGGAAGGUGGGGACGACGUCAGAUCAUCAUGCCCCUUAUGACCUGGGCUACACACGUGCUACAAUGGACGGUACAACGAGUCGCAAGCUCGCGAGAGUAAGCUAAUCUCUUAAAGCCGUUCUCAGUUCGGACUGUAGGCUGCAACUCGCCUACACGAAGUCGGAAUCGCUAGUAAUCGCGGAUCAGCAUGCCGCGGUGAAUACGUUCCCGGGCCUUGCACACACCGCCCGUCA
This 1434-nucleotide ribosomal RNA is filed under the name uncultured bacterium. Its description in RNAcentral is "bacterial SSU rRNA". It matches the Rfam family "Bacterial small subunit ribosomal RNA". The record is from RNAcentral.